Molecule: ribosomal RNA, 429 nt
Filed under: Chloroflexota bacterium
Lineage: Bacteria; Bacillati; Chloroflexota
Description: Chloroflexi bacterium partial 16S ribosomal RNA
Rfam family: Bacterial small subunit ribosomal RNA
Source: RNAcentral
UGGGGAAUAUUGCACAAUGGGCGCAAGCCUGAUGCAGCCAUGCCGCGUGUGUGAAGAAGGCCUUCGGGUUGUAAAGUACUUUCAGCGGGGAGGAAGGGAGUAAAGUUAAUACCUUUGCUCAUUGACGUUACCCGCAGAAGAAGCACCGGCUAACUCCGUGCCAGCAGCCGCGGUAAUACGGAGGGUGCAAGCGUUAAUCGGAAUUACUGGGCGUAAAGCGCACGCAGGCGGUUUGUUAAGUCAGAUGUGAAAUCCCCGGGCUCAACCUGGGAACUGCAUCGGAUACUCGCAAGCUUGAGUCUCGGAGAGGGGGGUAGAAUUCCAGGAGUAGCAGUGAAAUGCGUAGAGAUCUGGAGAAAUACCGGUGGCGAAGGCGGCCCCCUGGACGAAGACUGACGCUCAGGUGCGAAAGCGUGGGGAGCAAACAGG